UACGUAGGUGGCAAGCGUUGUCCGGAAUUAUUGGGCGUAAAGCGCGCGCAGGCGGUCCUUUAAGUCUGAUGUGAAAGCCCACGGCUCAACCGUGGAGGGUCAUUGGAAACUGGGGGACUUGAGUGCAGAAGAGGAGAGUGGAAUUCCACGUGUAGCGGUGAAAUGCGUAGAGAUGUGGAGGAACACCAGUGGCGAAGGCGGCCUUCUGGACCAGUACUGACGCUGAGGCACGAAAGCGUGGGGAGCAAACAGG
RNAcentral lists this ribosomal RNA (253 nucleotides) under uncultured bacterium. RNAcentral describes it as "partial 16S ribosomal RNA". It matches the Rfam family "Bacterial small subunit ribosomal RNA", at positions 524 to 776 of the family's 1533-position model. The record is from RNAcentral.